Molecule: ribosomal RNA, 484 nt
Filed under: uncultured bacterium
Lineage: Bacteria
Description: partial 16S ribosomal RNA
Rfam family: Bacterial small subunit ribosomal RNA
Source: RNAcentral
AUUGAACGCUGGCGGCAGGCCUAACACAUGCGAGUCGAGCGGAUGAAGGGAGCUUGCUCCUGGAUUCAGCGGCGGACGGGUGAGUAAUGCCUAGGAAUCUGCCUGGUAGUGGGGGAUAACGUCCGGAAACGGGCGCUAAUACCGCAUACGUCCUGAGGGAGAAAGUGGGGGAUCUUCGGACCUCACGCUAUCAGAUGAGCCUAGGUCGGAUUAGCUAGUUGGUGGGGUAAAGGCCUACCAAGGCGACGAUCCGUAACUGGUCUGAGAGGAUGAUCAGUCACACUGGAACUGAGACACGGUCCAGACUCCUACGGGAGGCAGCAGUGGGGAAUAUUGGACAAUGGGCGAAAGCCUGAUCCAGCCAUGCCGCGUGUGUGAAGAAGGUCUUCGGAUUGUAAAGCACUUUAAGUUGGGAGGAAGGGCGGUAAGUUAAUACCUUGCUGUUUUGACGUUACCAACAGAAUAAGCACCGGCUAACUUCGUG